UAAUGGGAUACAAUCUUAAGAAGUUGAAUCAAAUCUUUACUGGCUUAAAAAAGACGUAUUUUUAAGCACUUGAAAAAUCAUUCCAAACAAGCUCUUAAUUUCCUUACUUGAAACUUCUCUUUUAUCAUUUUUAUCCAGUAUUGGUUUCUUUGAAAAAUAAGAAAUAAUUUAUCCAAAAUCAUCAAGCAUCACAAAUAUUUUCUUUUAUUGUUUUUUUUUUUCCGUUGUUGGAUGAGUUAGUUGAGUCUAAUUUGUAACUAUUAGAUUUAGGAAGAUUUGACCUAAUAUUCUUUCAUUUUUUUUAUUCCUCACUGUAGUCUAUUUAUUUCCCCCUUGUAUCAUUCGUUAAUAUAAAAAAAUAAUAAGAGAGAUUUGCACCGUGGUGGAAACCAAAUAGAGGAGACAACCCCUGUCAUUAGUGUCGCCAUCGAUGCUCGGAUUAGCGCUGCCAUGGAUGAAGGCUUCCGCCACCUUCAGAAAACUUUAGCCAUUGUGAUUCUGUCAUUUUUUCCACCACCCAUGCCGCAACACACCACCCACGCGCCAAUGUCAGAGCUACAUGCACCAGCCCAUCUGGUUUAGACCACACUGACCAACCUAUAUGUGCCACCCUUGUCUUCAUUGUGGCCUGUACUGUUCCCCACGCGCCGCUCAAUGUGCUGCCACUUAAUUUCGAUCGGCCACCAUCGCUUCUGCAAUCAAAUUUGUAUGCCACGUCGUCCACUAACCUUAGUUAUCAUCCUGAUGUUAGGAAUCCUCAAAUUCACUCAACAUUUGAAGUUGGUGAAUCUUCAGCACAUUCCAUCCCUAAUGUACAAGCUUUCACUUCUUCUUCGGGUAUAGCUUACCAGCAACUGGAAGGGCUUCGACAACAGAUUGAAGCAAUUGGGGCUACCUUAGGGGCGACAUCCAACACUUCUGGUCUUGGCUUUCAUACACCUGUACCGAUGUAUUAUGAUAAUUCGGUAACCUCGUUCCCCACGUUAUCCUCUUCUUAUGUGACUAAUACAGUGGCACAUUCUACAGGAUAUUUUUCAGAAAAAAAAUUGAACGACAAUAACUAUUUCUCAUGGUCUCAGUCAAAUGGUCCUUGAACGACGACAUAAAUUUGAUUUUCUGCUAGGAAAAAUACCUUGUCCUCCACCGAGAGACCUACAGAAAUGGUAUUGGAAAAGGGAGAACGCUCUUCUUCGAUCCACAUUGAUCAAUAGUAUGGAGGCACAAAUCGACAAACCCUUACCGUACGCUACAACUGCUAAGGAUAUUUGGAACACAACCCAUAAACUGUAUUCCAAAUGUCAAAAGGCCUCUCGCUUAUACAUACUACAGAAACAGGUUCAUAAAUGCAAGCAAUGAACCAUAGAUGUCACAUCAUUUUUUAACAAGCUCUCUCUUAUAUGGCAGGAAAUAGACCUAUACAGAUAACUAGUCUAGAGCAGUUCUAGUGAUGGUUUACAAUACCCUAGAAUUGAAGAGAUUGAUAGGAUUCAUGACUUUCCUGCUGUUCUGAAAUCCGCCUUGAGGAGGAUCGUACAACUGCUAUCAAUAACUCCUACCAUUGACGUCGCUGCUUUUAGUAUAAGGUCCUUUACCAGUGGCAAUGACAAGCAGAAUGGAAAACCAGUUCCUGCCUGUGAGCAUUGCAAAAAACAAUGGCAUACCAAGGAGCGGAGUUGGAAGUUACAUGGUCAUUCCCCAGGAGAUAAGAAACGCUCUCCCAACGACAAACAGAACACAGGGCAGGCGUAUGUGAGUGAGUUGCUGCACCUUCUCAACCACCCGAUCCACAUGGAAACCAAAUCGAUCUCAGUCCCGAUACUUUAGGUGUCAUUGUCUAAUUAGGAUUUGAGCUCGGAGAAGAUGGUUGGCACUGCUCGGCAUAGUAAGGGACUCUACCUCCUUGAUGACGACACCUCUUCUAGUAGCAUUUCUAAGACUAGUCUUUUAUCUUCCUAUUUACUACUUCUUAACAAGAUUGUAUGCUGUGGCAUUUUCAUUUAGGCCACCCUAAUUUUCAAUAUAUGAAACAUUUAUUUCUUUCAUUUUUCUCUAAA
Molecule: long non-coding RNA, 2054 nt
Organism: Cucumis sativus (cucumber)
Lineage: Eukaryota; Viridiplantae; Streptophyta; Magnoliopsida; Cucurbitales; Cucurbitaceae
Exons: 2
Source: RefSeq, a predicted model, not a curated record